CCAAGAGGUACUUAGCACCAAGCACCCUACUGUUUUCCACACUGUGCUAGCUUUGCUCUUACCUCAGGCUGGAUUCCCGUGGGGUUCCAAGAUGACUACAGCAGUUCCAGUCAUCAUUCUCAGAUAUCAGAAAGCCAAGAGGAGAAAAGACCAUUAUUCAUUAUGUGCCUCCCAGCAGACAUCCCCUGUCUUGUUGACCUGCAUUUCAUCAGAGAGAUGCAAAGGUCAACCUGGAAGAGUGGGCUGACAGCCCCUAGCUACAGCGUUUUGGGAUCCACUGAAGCAGCAGCAAGUUGUGGACAUACUGUCUGUGGGCAGCAUCCAGCCAAUGACUGGGAUACGAAGGUCUUGAGUAUUUCUGCUCGAUGUGGCACUCCUCCAUGGACAUAUUUGCACUGGGGCUCCCCUUUGAACUGGCUGAGACGUUGUCAGAGCUACAUCAUCAUCUGAGGCUCCUCUCUACCCAAUCCUCCUUUCUUCCCCCUCUCUUUCACAAAUGUCAGACCUGCUUUGCAGUUUGAAGCCUUACCCUGCCCUCUCCUGCCCCAUUUAUUUCACAGGCAUUACUCUCAAUAAAUCUCUUGUACCCUUAACUCUUUCCAUCAUUUGCUUACCAGAGGAUAUGAAAAGAUACACAUUAUGCAAUUGUAACAUAACUUCUUUAUCUGUUCUCCUUUUUUUUUUUUUUUGAGACAUUCUGUUCCCUAGGCUGGAGUGCAGUGGAGUGAUCACGGCCCACUGCAGCUUUGACCUCCUGGGCUCAAGCUAUUCUCCCAACUCAGCCUCCCAAGUAGCUGGGAUUAUAGGUGUGAGCCACCACACCUGGCUAAAUAUAAAAAAAAUUUGUAAAGACGGAGUCUUCCUAUGUUUCCCAGGUUGGUCUCAAACUCCUGGGCUCAAGGGAUCCUCCUGCCUCAGGCUCUCAAAGUGUUGAGAUUACAGGUGUGAGCCGUCAUGCCCUGUUCUACUGUUGAUGAGCACUUUAUUUCCAGUCUUGGGGCACUCUGGAAAGUACUGCAAUAAACAUUCUUGUACAUGUAUGUAGGUGCACAUUUGCAUGCAUAUCAGUGUGAAAUAAUUGGUUACAGGUUAUGUGUAUGUCAGCUUUAGUAGAUCUUGUCAGAGUUUAACUAAAUGAUUUUACCAGUCUACAUUAUCACCAAUACGAUAUGAAAUUUCCACUUGCUCCCUAUACUUUCUUACACUUGGUGUUGUUGGUUUUAACAUUUCUAGCCAUUUAGUUUCUCUGAGGUCUAAUAAUAUUGAACAUGUUUUAAUAUGUUUAUUGGUCAUUUGUCUAUUCUUUUAUGUGAAAUGUCUAUUUAUAUGUGACUAUUUUUCUAUUUAUCUGUCUAUAUUUUGCUUCUUGAUUUGCGGG
RNAcentral lists this long non-coding RNA (1378 nucleotides) under Homo sapiens (human). RNAcentral's name for it is "HSALNT0047734". The record is from RNAcentral. Lineage: Eukaryota; Metazoa; Chordata; Mammalia; Primates; Hominidae.